Molecule: ribosomal RNA, 400 nt
Filed under: uncultured bacterium
Lineage: Bacteria
Description: bacterial SSU rRNA
Rfam family: Bacterial small subunit ribosomal RNA
Source: RNAcentral
UGGGGAAUAUUGGACAAUGGGCGCAAGCCUGAUCCAGCAAUACCGCGUGUGUGAAGAAGGCCUGAGGGUUGUAAAGCACUUUUAAUGGGGAGGAACACCCGCCGGCCAAUACCCGGCGGACUGACAUUACCCAUAGAAAAAGCACCGGCUAACUCCGUGCCAGCAGCCGCGGUAAUACGGAGGGUGCAAGCGUUAAUCGGAAUUACUGGGCGUAAAGCGUGCGUAGGCGGCUGGCCAAGCCAGAUGUGAAAGCCCCGGGCUCAACCUGGGAACUGCAUUUGGAACUGGCCGGCUAGAGUUUGGGAGAGGGGAGCGGAAUUUCAGGUGUAGCGGUGAAAUGCGUAGAGAUCUGAAGGAACACCAGUGGCGAAGGCGGCUCCCUGGCCCAAAACUGACGCUG